Molecule: small RNA, 170 nt
Filed under: human gut metagenome
Description: Bacteroidales-1 6S-Bacteroidales RNA suggested
Rfam family: Bacteroidales-1 6S-Bacteroidales RNA suggested
Source: RNAcentral
UGUACCGAUUGACUGGGAAACUCAUCAAUUAUUAUCGAAAACCGAGUCAGCUUCGUAUUGUCCAAUGGCGGGCCACGCCUUCGGGUAGCUUUAGAGAGCCGGUGGAUUACAAAGGACAGGAGCCCUCAAAUCUUGUAUUCUCGGAGUUUCGUCGUUCUCUUCUGUGCAGC